This 497-nucleotide ribosomal RNA is filed under the name uncultured bacterium. RNAcentral describes it as "partial 16S ribosomal RNA". It matches the Rfam family "Bacterial small subunit ribosomal RNA", at positions 28 to 507 of the family's 1533-position model. The record is from RNAcentral.
GAUGAACGCUGGCGGCGUGCCUAAUACAUGCAAGUCGAGCGAACAGACGAGGAGCUUGCUCCUCUGACGUUAGCGGCGGACGGGUGAGUAACACGUGGAUAACCUACCUAUAAGACUGGGAUAACUUCGGGAAACCGGAGCUAAUACCGGAUAAUAUAUUGAACCGCAUGGUUCAAUAGUGAAAGACGGUUUUGCUGUCACUUAUAGAUGGAUCCGCGCCGCAUUAGCUAGUUGGUAAGGUAACGGCUUACCAAGGCAACGAUGCGUAGCCGACCUGAGAGGGUGAUCGGCCACACUGGAACUGAGACACGGUCCAGACUCCUACGGGAGGCAGCAGUAGGGAAUCUUCCGCAAUGGGCGAAAGCCUGACGGAGCAACGCCGCGUGAGUGAUGAAGGUCUUCGGAUCGUAAAACUCUGUUAUUAGGGAAGAACAAAUGUGUAAGUAACUAUGCCCGUCUUGACGGUACCUAAUCAGAAAGCCCCGGCUAACUACGUG